Molecule: small RNA, 163 nt
Filed under: Paenibacillus popilliae
Lineage: Bacteria; Bacillati; Bacillota; Bacilli; Caryophanales; Paenibacillaceae
Also listed under: 1 other name
Description: c-di-AMP sequence
Rfam family: c-di-AMP riboswitch aptamer (ydaO/yuaA leader)
About the family: This family represents a conserved RNA structure found upstream of the ydaO and yuaA genes in Bacillus subtilis and related genes in other bacteria. The ydaO/yuaA element is thought to act as a genetic "off" switch for the ydaO and yuaA genes in its native state.
Source: RNAcentral
AUGCAACUCAAGCCGAACAUUGUACGGGGGAUGAUUGACCGGUGUUUAUUUCAUUACGGGAUAAGCGCCUUGGGGUGAAUCAGAGCUGGCGUUCGCCGGCAUGUAGGGUACUCCUUGACCCGAACCCGACAACUAACCUCGCAGGCUACCUUAAGGAGGAACA